This 230-nucleotide ribosomal RNA is filed under the name uncultured bacterium. RNAcentral describes it as "partial 16S ribosomal RNA". It matches the Rfam family "Bacterial small subunit ribosomal RNA", at positions 562 to 791 of the family's 1533-position model. The record is from RNAcentral.
AAAGCGUGCGCAGGCGGUUUUGUAAGUCUGUCGUGAAAUCCCCGGGCUCAACCUGGGAAUGGCGAUGGAGACUGCAAGGCUAGAGUUUGGCAGAGGGGGGUAGAAUUCCACGUGUAGCAGUGAAAUGCGUAGAUAUGUGGAGGAACACCGAUGGCGAAGGCAGCCCCCUGGGUCAAAACUGACGCUCAUGCACGAAAGCGUGGGGAGCAAACAGGAUUAGAUACCCGGGU